RNAcentral lists this ribosomal RNA (450 nucleotides) under uncultured bacterium. RNAcentral's name for it is "partial 16S ribosomal RNA". It matches the Rfam family "Bacterial small subunit ribosomal RNA", at positions 354 to 796 of the family's 1533-position model. The record is from RNAcentral.
GUGGGGAAUCUUCCGCAAUGGACGAAAGUCUGACGGAGCGACGCCGCGUGAGUGAAGAAGGCCUUCGGGUCGUAAAGCUCUGUCAUCAGGGACGAACGGCCGGUGGAGUGGAAAGCCACCGGAUUGACGGUACCUGAGAAGGAAGCCACGGCUAACUACGUGCCAGCAGCCGCGGUAAUACGUAGGUGGCAAGCGUUGUCCGGAAUUAUUGGUCGUCAAGCGCGCGCAGGUGGGAUCUUAAGUCCAUUUUGAACGUUCGGAGCUCAACUCCGUGAUGGGAUGGAAACUGGGAUUCGUGAGUACCGGAGAGGAAAGCGGAAUUCCCCGUGUAGCGGUGAAAUGCGGAGAUAUGGGGAGGAACACCAGUGGCGAAGGCGGCUUUCUGGACGGUGUCUGACACUAAGGCGCGAAAGCUAGGGGAGCGAACGGGAUUAGAAACCCGGGUAGUCC